AAUGUACUCCCUCCGUCCAGAAAUACUUGUCGAAGAAAUGGAUAAAAAUGGAUGUAUCCAGAACCAAAAUACAUCUAGAUACAUCCAUUUCUCCGAUAAGUAUUUAUGGACGGAGGAAGUAAUAA
Molecule: non-coding RNA, 125 nt
Organism: Triticum urartu
Lineage: Eukaryota; Viridiplantae; Streptophyta; Magnoliopsida; Poales; Poaceae
Source: Rfam